Molecule: ribosomal RNA, 465 nt
Filed under: Vreelandella stevensii
Lineage: Bacteria; Pseudomonadati; Pseudomonadota; Gammaproteobacteria; Oceanospirillales; Halomonadaceae
Description: partial 16S ribosomal RNA
Rfam family: Bacterial small subunit ribosomal RNA
Source: RNAcentral
CCUACGGGUGGCAGCAGUGGGGAAUAUUGGACAAUGGGGGGAACCCUGAUCCAGCCAUGCCGCGUGUGUGAAGAAGGCCCUCGGGUUGUAAAGCACUUUCAGUGAGGAAGAACGCCUGGUGGUUAAUACCCAUCAGGAAAGACAUCACUCACAGAAGAAGCACCGGCUAACUCCGUGCCAGCAGCCGCGGUAAUACGGAGGGUGCGAGCGUUAAUCGGAAUUACUGGGCGUAAAGCGCGCGUAGGUGGCUUGAUAAGCCGGUUGUGAAAGCCCCGGGCUCAACCUGGGAACGGCAUCCGGAACUUUCAAGCUAGAGUGCAGGAGAGGAAAGUAGAAUUCCCGGUGUAGCGGUGAAAUGCGUAGAGAUCGGGAGGAAUACCAGUGGCGAAGGCGGCCUUCUGGACUGACACUGACGCUGAGGUGCGAAAGCGUGGGUAGCAAACAGGAUUAGAUACCCGGGUAGUC